UAAGGAAUAUUGGACAAUGGACGGAAGUCUGAUCCAGCCAUGCCGCGUGCAGGAAGAAGGCGCUCUGCGUUGUAAACUGCUUUUGGACAGGGACAAACCACUCGAUGCGUCGGGUGCUGAGGGUACUGUCAGAAUAAGCACCGGCUAACUCCGUGCCAGCAGCCGCGGUAAUACGGAGGGUGCAAGCGUUAUCCGGAAUCACUGGGUUUAAAGGGUGCGUAGGCGGUUGAAUAAGUCAGUCGUGAAAUUCCUUGGCUUAACCAAAGGGACUGCGAUUGAUACUGUUUAACUUGAAUAAGGAUGAGGUAGGCGGAAUGUGGCAUGUAGCGGUGAAAUGCUUAGAUAUGCCAUAGAACACCGAUUGCGAAGGCAGCUUGCUGGACCUUUAUUGACGCUGAGG
This 400-nucleotide ribosomal RNA is filed under the name uncultured bacterium. RNAcentral's name for it is "bacterial SSU rRNA". It matches the Rfam family "Bacterial small subunit ribosomal RNA", at positions 355 to 751 of the family's 1533-position model. The record is from RNAcentral.